This 428-nucleotide long non-coding RNA is filed under the name Vigna radiata. RNAcentral describes it as "long non-coding RNA (VRAD_LNC016574)". Lineage: Eukaryota; Viridiplantae; Streptophyta; Magnoliopsida; Fabales; Fabaceae. The record is from RNAcentral.
CUCCUAAACACCUAUUACAGUAUACGUUACGUAUUCAACCAUCACAAUUAAUAUAUACCCAUAAUAAACAGACUUGAGAAUUAGAAUCAAGAGGAUUAAUUUUAAUUCUAAGGCUCCACACAAUAUUUGAAUCACUCUUUCUCUAGUUUAUUGAUUAAUUGUUGCAACUUCUUCAGAUACUUUUUCGUGGAAUGAUCCCGCGUCAUUCCUGUUGAAAAUCUGAGUUUUCCAUACAGCUGUNUAGGGGUUUGAUAUAAGAAGACAUGUUCGUCAUCAGCAUCACUGUGGUUUGAGUUCGAAUUUUCAGACAUCUCUGAAGUGAUCAUAUGCAUGAUCCUGCCUGGUGGAUAAAGACGUCGCCUAGCUGAAGUUCUAUCUUCACUAACACUGUCUUCUUCACUGAUAUCUUUCUCCUUAGCAUGUUUUNN